Trichoplusia ni (cabbage looper) is the source of this 5821-nucleotide long non-coding RNA. RefSeq lists it as uncharacterized. NCBI's taxonomy places the organism in Eukaryota, Metazoa, Arthropoda, Insecta, Lepidoptera, Noctuidae. The transcript is spliced from 3 exons. The record is from RefSeq and is a predicted model, not a curated record.
UAGGUGCGAAAUAAAACUGAUCUCAAUUUAAUUACAUUCGAAAAUGUGAUUUCCGACCUGAUAUCCUAUGAUGAACUUACAAAUCUACAAAUAUUAAAUUUAUGUUCCUCAUUUUUCAGUAACACAAAUACUUGUUCUAUUUUGACGAAGUUGAGAGCGCGAAACAAGUCCAAGAACUGUGUGAAGCUCCGCCGCGCCUCCUGUGAAGCCGGCUUUGUUUGAUUCAUAAUAACACUGUUGAUACUGCCGUGUCUUUAUGGAAAAUGGAUCAUACUCAUGGAUGGUGAAAUUAUGAUGUGUUUUUGUGUUACCGUUUCAAGCUUUUAUGUCAUUAAUCACGAGAAAUUUGCAAAAAUCCUUCAUAGACGCCCAUUCAUUGAUGAAAAUGUUGAAUGAAGCUAGUGAUCAAACGGUUAAAGUUCUGAAAGUUUGCAUGCAAAACGAGACCUUAUAGUUGAAGGCUUAGGUUAUACGUUUCAGAUAAGGCAUGAAGUGGUAUUAACGCUGUUGUUGAUAAUGCAUGUAACUCUCUUUCGCUUCUGCUUCCCUAGUAUUGCAAAUAGAAAUUGUGACGAGAUCCGAGGCCCGGUCACCGCCGCCAGCUCGCUGCAUACAUAGGCAAAGAGCGCCUUGAAUCAACCCUAUCCGCGAUUCUCAAGAGAUGCAGGCGAAAUAUGCGUUUAGUGCGAGGGACGCAUACAAGAGAGCAGCAACGGCGUGCACUGUCACCGCCGCGCCACGCUCCACUAACGGGACUUUGAGUGAGGCGCCGCGAGAACAAGAGCAAGGGCCUAGGGCUCCACAUAACGUAUUACCGUCAUUCGGCUGCUAGGCCUGUUGAAUCGAACCACAGUUGAUAUCCGUAUCAUUACCACUGCAGUACCCGCAAACAGCAGGACAAUACCAGGAGCUCAUAAGUUUGAAGGAGGUUCGAGGAUAAAACCCCGUACAAAUCAAAUUGAACUUUAAAAUGACCAAAGCAUUGAAUCCAAAAUAAGAUGGUAAUCCUUGUCCAUUGGAUCGACAAGUAUGAAAUCACAUUGAUUAAUACUGAAUUUAUUUUCAUACAAACUUUGUGCAUUAGUGUCAUUACUUUUUUUAUUCUUUUUUUUAUUAACCACAACUGUGAUAACUGCCUUGAAGCAAAGAAGCGGAAUAAAAUAAAUUAUAUACUUUGAAACGAAUUAUAUGUUGUGAUAUCAUAGUCAUGUUUGAUAUCAAAAUGAAGGUCUCGAAAUGAAUAAUUUGAAUAUAAUAUCAAUGUUUAAGAAUUUGUAACGGAAAACAUAUUGGAUGCGCGCAGUUUGCUCUCUAAAAACCGAACGUGAGUACGAUCGAUAUUACUCGGUCACCGCGGCGCCGACAGCACGUUAUUUUCAUAGCAGUAAAUCGUCCUUCUUUUUAUAAUAACUAAUGGAUUUAGUAACAUUUGCCUGUUUCAGACCAAGACCUUUAUUUUGAUACCAAACACGACAACACUACGACAAUUUUGAUAUGUAACAGUGUAGCGCUCUGUCCAACGCGUUCUUCAUAUUUAAAAAGUUAAGCAAAUAAAUGUAACUUCUUUACAAUGAUAUGAUAUUAUACAUGUAAAUACUUAAGUAUAGAACGAUAUUUGCCAAUUAAUCCUCUUUGAUAGAAUUUUCUUGACAAUUGCUUAGAAUAAAUGUGAGUGUAAAAUCAGUAAAAAGAUCUAUGAACACAGAAUGGACGAAUUAAUUGUACUUUUAGUUAUAAGAGAUUGGAUGAUGGUGAGACAUAAUAGUCAAGUUUGGUAUCAAAAUGAAGGUCUUAAUUUGAAUAUUGAAAACAUUUUUCGAGAGUUAAUUACAAAAAAUGUACUCGAUGCGCGCUGUUUGCUCCGAAAGAACCACCCGUGAGUACGAUCGAUAUUACACGGACGUCGCGGCGCCUACUACGCGCAAUUUUCAUGGAAGUAAUUCCUCCUCCUUCUUAUUAUUCCAAUUUAUUUAAUUAUAUUUGACUAUUUCAGAUCAAGACCUUUAUUUUGAUACCAAACACGACAUCACUACGACAAUUUUAAUUUGUAUUUGAAAGAAAUGAUACGAAGCUAAGCAAAUCAUGUUUUUAUGACAAACUUAUCGUUUUCUACUCGUCCUUUAUUUCUAAUGAUUUUGCAAAAAAUAAAAGACGUUUUAAUCACUCCAUCAUGCAAUUUACAUUACUUUUGUAAAUAUUUUAAGGAGGAAGUCCGUCAAAAGGUCAACAAUAAGAGUGUCCACGUGGCCUUUUGAAUAGAUCGAAAUUCAGAGAAACGCCGAAAUCUAGUACUAGGAACCCAUAACGCAAGAAGAGGUUCAAAUAUGAUAGUACCGUUGCAAGUACAGUUUAAUCAUUUUACUAUAGUAAACGCUAAGACUAUUAAGACUAAGGUUCAUUUUUGCUAGCAACUGUUUGGCUCUUUAGUCCUAGACCGACGAGUAGAAAACCACGUUUUUAGACUUCAGGAUAGGAAUUUGUAAAUAUUUCAGGAUUUAUGACAUAAAAUAGUUAUGAUAUGACUUAAAAUCGGUGUAUUACAGCAUAUGGAACAUAAUGUAAGUGAUUUUUGGUGCGAACACCCUUGCCAUACGUUGGGUUGAAAUAUUUUGCACUCAGCGACGUGCAGUCCCUGCUGACACAUUCAACUGACUAACGUACGGCAGACGACGCUCACGUACGGUCGCCGCGCUGGGCUUGGAGUGUUUCAUCAGGUGAUUGAAUAUUUAUACCCAUAAACAUAAUAUUAAUUUGGGAAUAACAGAUAAAAUAAAAUAUUUGUUAUAAAUGGCUAAUAGAUUCAGAUGAAUUGUGAAAACCCUAUUUCAGAUUUACAUAAAUUUAAAGUCAGAGUAAAAACAAAUAGUUUAUGAGAACAUUAUCUUUAAUAGUCAUGGCAUGGGUAACCCAAACGAUAAAAUAAUCACAAGAAGAUCCAUCUCACAAGCGGCACACCUCACCCUUUCUGCAUUAAUCAUUACUAUUACUUCCUACCAUUAAUCCAGUGUCCAUAAUUUCAUAAUUUACUGUCGUUGUUUUUAUUCAUAAACCAGGCAUACCCACGAGUUCAGAUGUCACCAAAUGAAUUCCAAAAAGUAGAUAUAGCCAUCCACCACGAAUUAUAUCUUCUCUUCUAAUAUAUUAUAUUCCCGAGUCACGAUAUUUUUGUAGUGGAUUUUAUUUUUAUGACAAUGACUUGUGAAUUUUAUUGCUAGUCACAUAAUAAUCAUAAUAAUCAUCAUCAUUGGCCUAUAUUCGUCCACUUCUGGACAUAAACCCCUCCAUCAAGAUCUUCUUCGGCUGCUAGGCCCGUUGAAUCGAACAACGGUUAUUAUCCGUAUCAUGUAAGUCGCUUGAACUUUGAUUAAUUAUGUGGAUAUCAAACAGUUACGUUCCGCUGUCAUAAACCACGACCUACAUUUUGACAUCAAACACGACAAGACACUGACUAUUUUAAUGAGUUUCAAUGUAACUUUUUGUCUAACAUAAAUUGUCUUUAGCAUAAACCGUCUCUCGUAUUUAUAAGAAGUAAAAUGAAGAAUAUUUCAGUAGAUAAUGGUGAUUAUUUUGAUUUGAUGUUUAAUUAAAUAAUUGUGUUUUUUCUUUUAAUACUCAGGUGCCACCGUAAGUUUUCAACCUUAAAGUUAAAUGUUUAAACUAUAUUUUGUUAGAAACUUACAGAAUAUUGGCUAAAACGCCAAAGUGAGUAUAUUUUUUACGAUUUUACUUCGAUUUUAUAACCUGAUAGCACGAGGAGAUGGCUUGCACUUGCGUGAAAAAUGCUUUGAAACAAGGAGUGCAUAGGCAUGAAGAGUUGACGUGACAUUGAGAGAGGAGUGCAUCUCACACACACAUCGUUAACGUGUUCACAGUACCUUACACAGCUAGCAAGCUUUCCGGAAGCCUGAAAUAGUUGCUACUAAUAGUAGCUAGUGACUAGGGCAUCAUUAAUUAUGAGAGCAUUUAUUUACGAUUUCAGUGAACAUUCUUAUUUAAGCUAUGUGAUAUUUUUCUUAUAUUUUGUCCUACGAAAUAAGUAUAGAAAUAGACAUUUAUUUUUUAUUCCAUUUCUUGCGGCACUAUUCAUUUAUUAAAAAAAGUGACCAAAACUUCAAAAAUAAUGCAACACCUUCUGUUCAGCUGAAUUUUAGUUGAUUUGACACCCAACGCGGGGCAUGACUAAAUUAUCUAUUAACAAUUUCUAUACAUGACUCUAUUACUUUAUACUCCUCUACACUUUUUAACUGUAUCACAAUAAAUUCUAUGGAAUAAACAGCUACUCAUAUGGACCACUUCACGAUAAAUUUUCCAUACGGAGCGCUCUUUGACUAUGCGUCAAGCUGGCAGCAUGUGGACGGGCGUCGGAUCCCGAAGCAAUCCUCGAAUUUAAUACUAGGGACCGAGAAGUGCAUGGAGUUAACUGUAUUUUAUCAAAAGCACAAGUACCACUACAUGUGCAGGUUUGGUAAUGUAUAACCAAAACGUCAAAGCUUUGAAGUCUACUUUUGUGAGUGUAUUAUAUAAGUAUUAAUAAUAGUAUUUAUAUUGAAUAAUAACAUUACAGGCUGCCGAAUCCAUUAAUCGAUUUUUCAGUAGCCGGUUACAACCACUCUGAGUUCCAACAUUUUGUAUGUUUGAGUCUUGGUGUGUCUUCGGCUGAAAAUGAUUUGCUCAAGGUACAAACAAAACGGGGAAAACAGAGCGUUGAAAACGUUGCUAUUGUAGACAUUGCCAAUGAAGAGUUUGAGAGGAGGUAAAGUAAUAAUACGGAAUAAAAAAGUUCAUUCAAAACCAUAGCAGGAAAAACUCGGCGGUUGCUGGCUAAGAUGCCAUUACUGUUAUUUUUCCCGAAUGACAACCAACUGCUGAGACAGUAGUUGCCACUCGAGCGUGAGCGCGACGCCGCACUAGUGCGGUCUCGCUCUCGCACCGUGGUGACGUAGUUCUCCCACCGGAUGCUCAGGUCACUACACUGUCAUUCAACUAUUCAAAGUCAGUUGAUAUUAUUAUGUUCGACGCAAAUACUCCUUUCUUCUUGAAAAAGCUCUGCAUAUAAUUUCAUUAAUUUAUUUAGGUGCGAAAUAAAAAUGAUCUCAAUUUAAUUACAUUCGAAAAUGUGAUUUCCGACCUGAUAUCCUAUGACGAUCUUACAAAUCAACAAAUAUUAAAUUUAUUUACCUCAUUUUUCAGGUACACAAAUACUUGUUCUAUUUUGACGAAGUUGAGAGCGCGAAACAAGUCCAAAAACUGUGUGAAGCUCGGCCACGCCUCCUGUGAAGCCGGCUUUGUUUGAUUCAUAAUAACACUGUUGAUACUGCCGUAUCUUCAUGGAAAAUGGAUCAUACUCAAGGAUGGUGAAAUUAUGAUGUGUUUUUGUGUUACCGUUUCAAGGUUUUAUGUCAUUAAUAACGAGCAAUUUGCAAAAAACCUUCAUAGACGCCCAUACUUUGAUGCAAAUGUUGAAUGAAGCUAGUGAUCAAACCGUUAAAGUUCUGAAAGUUUGCAUGCAAAACGAGACCUUAUAUUGGAAGGCUUAGGUUAUACGUUUCAGAUACGGCAUGAAGUGGUAUUAACGCUGUUGUUGAUAAUGCAUGUAACUCUCUUUCGCUUCUGCUUCCCUAGUAUUGCAAAUCGAAAUUGUGACGAGAUCCGAAGCCCGGUCACCGCCGCCAGCUCGCUGUAUAGGCAAAGAGCGCCUUGGAUUAAAUCCUAUACGCGAUUCUCAAGAGAUGCAGACAAAUUAUGCGUUUAGUGCGAGGUCCAUAUAAAACCAGACAUUUAUAAAAUAGUUUCUAUCUUUCAAUUCAUUUCAUACGUCAAG